Molecule: ribosomal RNA, 292 nt
Filed under: uncultured bacterium
Lineage: Bacteria
Description: partial 16S ribosomal RNA
Rfam family: Bacterial small subunit ribosomal RNA
Source: RNAcentral
GUGCCAGCAGCCGCGGUAAUACGUAGGGUGCGAGCGUUAAUCGGAAUUACUGGGCGUAAAGGGUGCGUAGGCGGAUAUGUAAGUUAGAUGUGAAAUCCCCGAGCUUAACUUGGGAACAGCAUUUAAGACUGCGUAUCUAGAGUCUGUAAGAGGGGGGUAGAAUUCCGAGUGUAGCAGUGAAAUGCGUAGAGAUUCGGAGGAACACCGGUGGCGAAGGCGGCCCCCUGGGAUAAGACUGACGCUGAGGCACGAAAGCGUGGGUAGCAAACAGGAUUAGAUACCCCUGUAGUCC